UAAAAAAAGGUAAGCUACUAAGAGCGAAUGGUGGAUGCCUUGACUGGUAAAGGCGAUGAAGGACGUACUAGACUGCGAUAAGCUACGGGGAGCUGUCAAGAAGCUUUGAUCCGUAGAUUUCCGAAUGGGGCAACCCAAUGUAUAGAGAUAUACAUUACCUAUAUAGGAGCGAACGAGGGGAAUUGAAACAUCUUAGUACCCUCAGGAAAAGAAAUCAAUAGAGAUUGCGUCAGUAGCGGCGAGCGAAAGCGCAAGAGGGCAAACCCAGUGCUUGCACUGGGGGUUGUAGGACUGCAAUGUGCAAGAGCUGAGUUUAGCAGAACAUUCUGGAAAGUAUAGCCAUAGAGGGUGAUAGUCCCGUAUGCGAAAAACAAAGCUUAGCUAGCAGUAUCCUGAGUAGGGCGGGACACGAGGAAUCCUGUCUGAAUCCGGGUCGACCACGAUCCAACCCUAAAUACUAAUACCAGAUCGAUAGUGCACAAGUACCGUGAGGGAAAGGUGAAAAGAACUGAGGUGAUCAGAGUGAAAUAGAACCUGAAACCAUUUGCUUACAAUCAUUCAGAGCACUAUGUAGCAAUACAGUGUGAUGGACUGCCUUUUGCAUAAUGAGCCUGCGAGUUGUGGUGUCUGGCAAGGUUAAGCAAACGCGAAGCCGUAGCGAAAGCGAGUCUGAAUAGGGCGCUUAGUCAGAUGCUGCAGACCCGAAACGAAGUGAUCUAUCCAUGAGCAAGUUGAAGCUAGUGUAAGAACUAGUGGAGGACUGAACCCAUAGGCGUUGAAAAGCCCCGGGAUGACUUGUGGAUAGGGGUGAAAGGCCAAUCAAACUUCGUGAUAGCUGGUUCUCUCCGAAAUAUAUUUAGGUAUAGCGUUGUGUCGUAAUAUAAGGGGGUAGAGCACUGAAUGGGCUAGGGCAUACACCAAUGUACCAAACCCUAUCAAACUCCGAAUACCUUAUAUGUAAUCACAGCAGUCAGGCGGCGAGUGAUAAAAUCCGUCGUCAAGAGGGAAACAACCCAGACUACCAGCUAAGGUCCCUAAAUCUUACUUAAGUGGAAAACGAUGUGAAGUUACUUAAACAACCAGGAGGUUGGCUUAGAAGCAGCCAUCCUUUAAAGAAAGCGUAAUAGCUCACUGGUCUAGUGAUUUUGCGCGGAAAAUAUAACGGGGCUAAAGUAAGUACCGAAGCUGUAGACUUGCACACAACUUAGAUUAUUUAAGUUUAGAAUAUGAGAAACUAAGUUAUAUGUUUAGUUAUAUUUUUACUGAUUUUUAUAGAGUAAAGAUAGAAAUAAAACUUAGUAAAAUCAGUAAAAAUAUUCUUAGGCUAAAGUUAAGUAGUUUAAGUUGUGUGCAAGUGGUAGGAGAGCGUUCUAUUUGCGUCGAAGGUAUACCGGUAAGGAGUGCUGGAGCGAAUAGAAGUGAGCAUGCAGGCAUGAGUAGCGAUAAUUAAUGUGAGAAUCAUUAACGCCGUAAACCCAAGGUUUCCUACGCGAUGCUCGUCAUCGUAGGGUUAGUCGGGUCCUAAGUCGAGUCCGAAAGGGGUAGACGAUGGCAAAUUGGUUAAUAUUCCAAUACCAACAUUAGUGUGCGAUGGAAGGACGCUUAGGGCUAAGGGGGCUAGCGGAUGGAAGUGCUAGUCUAAGGUUGUAGGAGGUUAUACAGGCAAAUCCGUAUAACAAUACUCCGAGAACUGAAAGGCUUUUUGAAGUCUUCGGAUGGAUAGAAGAACCCCUGAUGCCGUCGAGCCAAGAAAAGUUUCUAAGUUUAGCUAAUGUUGCCCGUACCGUAAACCGACACAGGUGGGUGGGAUGAGUAUUCUAAGGCGCGUGGAAGAACUCUCUUUAAGGAACUCUGCAAAAUAGCACCGUAUCUUCGGUAUAAGGUGUGGUUAGCUUCGUACUAGGAUUUACUCCGAAAGCGAAGAAACUUACAACAAAGAGUCCCUCCCGACUGUUUACCAAAAACACAGCACUCUGCUAACUCGUAAGAGGAUGUAUAGGGUGUGACGCCUGCCCGGUGCUCGAAGGUUAAUUGAUGGGGUUAGCAUUAGCGAAGCUCUUGAUCGAAGCCCGAGUAAACGGCGGCCGUAACUAUAACGGUCCUAAGGUAGCGA
RNAcentral lists this ribosomal RNA (2113 nucleotides) under Campylobacter jejuni. Its description in RNAcentral is "partial 23S ribosomal RNA". It matches the Rfam family "Bacterial large subunit ribosomal RNA", at positions 1 to 1962 of the family's 2925-position model. Lineage: Bacteria; Pseudomonadati; Campylobacterota; Epsilonproteobacteria; Campylobacterales; Campylobacteraceae. The record is from RNAcentral.